GUCGAGCGGAUGAGAGGAGCUUGCUCCUUGAUUUAGCGGCGGACGGGUGAGUAAUGCCUAGGAAUCUGCCCGGUAGUGGGGGAUAACGUUCCGAAAGGAACGCUAAUACCGCAUACGUCCUACGGGAGAAAGCAGGGGACCUUCGGGCCUUGCGCUAUCGGAUGAGCCUAGGUCGGAUUAGCUAGUUGGUGAGGUAAAGGCUCACCAAGGCGACGAUCCGUAACUGGUCUGAGAGGAUGAUCAGUCACACUGGAACUGAGACACGGUCCAGACUCCUACGGGAGGCAGCAGUGGGGAAUAUUGGACAAUGGGCGAAAGCCUGAUCCAGCCAUGCCGCGUGUGUGAAGAAGGUCUUCGGAUUGUAAAGCACUUUAAGUUGGGAGGAAGGGCAGUAAGUUAAUACCUUGCUGUUUUGACGUUACCGACAGAAUAAGCACCGGCUAACUUCGUGCCAGCAGCCGCGGUAAUACGAAGGGUGCAAGCGUUAAUCGGAAUUACUGGGCGUAAAGCGCGCGUAGGUGGUUCGUUAAGUUGGAUGUGAAAGCCCCGGGCUCAACCUGGGAACUGCAUCCAAAACUGGCGAGCUAGAGUACGGUAGAGGGUGGUGGAAUUUCCUGUGUAGCGGUGAAAUGCGUAGAUAUAGGAAGGAACACCAGUGGCGAAGGCGACCACCUGGACUGAUACUGACACUGAGGUGCGAAAGCGUGGGGAGCAAACAGGAUUA
This 724-nucleotide ribosomal RNA is filed under the name Pseudomonas sp. N7. RNAcentral describes it as "bacterial SSU rRNA". It matches the Rfam family "Bacterial small subunit ribosomal RNA", at positions 61 to 780 of the family's 1533-position model. Lineage: Bacteria; Pseudomonadati; Pseudomonadota; Gammaproteobacteria; Pseudomonadales; Pseudomonadaceae. The record is from RNAcentral.